This 131-nucleotide small RNA is filed under the name Salmonella enterica subsp. enterica serovar Weltevreden. Its description in RNAcentral is "RtT sRNA". It matches the Rfam family "RtT RNA". Rfam says of the family: This family represents a bacterial cis-regulatory element known as RtT RNA. The exact function of RtT is unknown although it is thought that it may be involved in changing the cellular response in relation to amino acid starvation. Lineage: Bacteria; Pseudomonadati; Pseudomonadota; Gammaproteobacteria; Enterobacterales; Enterobacteriaceae. The record is from RNAcentral.
AUUCUACCCAUGUGGGGAAGGAUGAGAAGCUUCGACUAAGGUUCGAUUCGAGCGCAGCGAGAAAGCGUUGCCGCAGGCAACGACCCGAAGGGCGAAGCGCGCAGCGCUGAGUAAUCCUUCCCCCACCACCG